This 220-nucleotide unclassified non-coding RNA is filed under the name plant metagenome. Its description in RNAcentral is "partial contains small subunit ribosomal RNA, internal transcribed spacer 1, and 5.8S ribosomal RNA". The record is from RNAcentral.
UUUCCGUAGGUGAACCUGCGGAAGGAUCAUUACAGAGUUCAUGCCCUCACGGGUAGAUCUCCCACCCUUGAAUAUUUAUACCUUAGUUGCUUUGGCAGGCCGUGGAAACACCAUGGGCUCCGGCUUAUGCGUGCCUGCCAGAGGAAACAAACUCUGUUUUUAGUGAUGUCUGAGUACUAUAUAAUAGUUAAAACUUUCAACAACGGAUCUCUUGGUUCUG